GGUGGCUCAGUGGUAGAGUGCUUGCCUUGCAUGCAUGAGGCCCUGGGCUCGAUUCCCUAGCACCA
Molecule: transfer RNA, 65 nt
Filed under: Dipodomys ordii (Ord's kangaroo rat)
Lineage: Eukaryota; Metazoa; Chordata; Mammalia; Rodentia; Heteromyidae
Rfam family: tRNA
About the family: Transfer RNA (tRNA) molecules are approximately 80 nucleotides in length. Their secondary structure includes four short double-helical elements and three loops (D, anti-codon, and T loops).
Source: Rfam by way of RNAcentral